Molecule: long non-coding RNA, 2576 nt
Organism: Vidua macroura (Pin-tailed whydah)
Lineage: Eukaryota; Metazoa; Chordata; Aves; Passeriformes; Viduidae
Exons: 3
Source: RefSeq, a predicted model, not a curated record
UUUGUCUGGCCCCUGCUUUUAGGUAGCCCCAAAAAGGCUACCAAAGGUUAAAAGAUUUUGUGGGUCUGACACAGGCCUGUCAGGCGGUCCCUGGAGCUGAGCCAGGCCCGAGUCCCGAGGCCUUGGGGACACAAAUGGAGGCCACGGGAGGACACGUGAGGCCUUGGAGUGGCUGCCAAGAACAGGGGCUAGACAAGAUUAAGAGAAUAAAAGCGUGGUGUUUAUUAAAGGCCUUCAAUAGGUACAGCUUGGGCUAUCAAAAGCCUCCCAGAGGCUGCACCCAAGAUGGACAAUGGUCACGAGUUUUUCAUAGAGUUAAAAGUUUGGUCCAUUUGCAUAUCAGGGGUUAAUCCUCCAACUCCAGCUUCAGGUAAUUAAGUAAUUUUCUCCAAGCAUUCCCCCCUCAAUUCACUGUUGUUUGCAUCUGAGGCAAUACGGUGUCCUUGAUUUUCAGGCCUAGAGAGGAAUUGUUUUGUCUGAAUAAAACAGGAGAACAGCAGCUGGCAGGGUGUGGAGUUUAGAAUUAUACACUAAAGCAGUACAGCGUCUGAAAAAUAUAAAACCUAAAUCCCAAGGCAUCAGAUGGACACCCUGAGACGCCCCAUCCUGUGGGAUGCUGCAGCCUGUACUGGGAGCCAGCUUUCCCCUUCUCCUUUACAGGGAUGACAUUAAAUAUCCAGUGCCACUGCAGGAGCUAGCAAUUCUUCACUGCUACAGCCAGAGGGACUGAUGAAUGAUGGACUGUUUUGUUGCCCACAAACAGCCUGCCGGGGUUCUGACAGGGGAAUCACACAAAAGCAGAGUGCAGAAAAGCUUUAAGAGAGAAGCCAAGAGUGAGAUAUAAUGGGAAAAACAGAGGCCUGCCUGAUUUUUCUAUAGUAGCUGUAACUGGGAUUAACCAGCCUUUUAUGGAAAGAAAUUUACUGUCAUCUUUGCUCAGAUAACUUAUAUCAUUGUUGGUUAAUUAUGGACACUUUCCUUGGUGCUGCCUGCUAUGCACUCUGGCUCCUCAAGCAUAACAUGCCUCUAAUCUCACAGCUAUUAUGCAAAUUUUCUUCCUAGCUGCAGGAAAGCCAUCGAGCAGCAGUGCUGGUGGGGGUUUCUUGGAGGUCUCUUUGCAAAACAUCUUAGGUUCAGUGCACAUGGAGUUGGUUCACUAGGCUGAACACAGAGCUUAGAGACUGGAGGAAAAAAAAAUCCCAUAUUGUUAAAAUAUUUUCCCUGAAUUUUACUAAAUUAAAACAGGUUUCUGCGGUGGUUUGUAAAUAGCCUGAGAUUUUUACACUCUCCUGGUUACAAAGACCAUUUAAACCUCUUUUUUUGAAUUGUGCGUGUUGCUUCCACCCCCGUGAGAAAGAAUAAAAAAAAAUCAACUGAUAACAGUUUCAGACUCAACAGGUAACAGCUGACUUUUGCUCACAUAAUAUUUUCUGGAUGAGACAUUGAAAGUUUUCCUGGUUUAAGGAAACCAUUCAUUCAAUCCUCAAGGAGUGCUUGGACCCUGCCCAAAAAUGGCUCAUAGAGUUUAGACCUUCCUUGGGCCUGGUGCUGACCAGUAGAAAAGAGGAAAUUCUCCCUUUUGAUUGAAGCAGUGGAUACCCCAAACACAAACUUGUGUGUCAGCUUCACUUGACUACGUGCCCUGUUGGUUCUGCAGGAGCCAUCUCCAGUGAAAGCAAAAUCCAACAUCUGAAGCACCAGUGUUCCAUCAGACCUGUGUUCUUCAGGCAGAGCCUAGCUACCAAAGACAGUGCAGCUUUGAAAUGACAGUUCUCUACACAAUCUGAUCCAUGGUUCUCUAUGAUUCGCAUUUCUGGGGAAAAAAAAAUCCUGCUGUGUAUUAUUUAGGAGCAAUCAGGACCAUUAUUCUAGUUUCUCUCAGCUGCCCAUUAAGUCUAAACUUUCCCUGGUCCCACCUUUUUUGUUGCUUUGCAUUUCCAGUCCUGGAUUUGGCUCUGAGAAAAGGCUGUGGGUAAAAUCCUGUGUCACAGCAGCAGAGCUUCUGUUGUGCCAGGCCUUUGGCUGGUCUCCUGGAGAUAUUUUUGGGCAAUGGCUUCAUGUACUCAUCUUGCACACGUGCUUCAGUCAGCCCGUCCUGAUGUGCUUGCCAUGCUGCCCGUGGAUGCCGCCAUCACAGGGUCAAUCCUGACAUCAUCCAAGGAAUGCUCUGUCUUUUCCACAGGAGAACAAUCUAACCCUGCGUUUCCUCACAUAUGGAGCAGGAAGGAGCAGCAUUUUAUCUUCACUGCUGUGGAGGAUGAACUGAGGGUGACUUGGAAUGGGUGGCUGCUCCACACAGAGCUGGGAGCUAAGCCUCCAAUGAGAAGUAGUUUCACCAGAGAAGCUAUGCCUUUCCAUCUGUUCCUAGGAUUUAGAUUCCUCAUGUUUUAUUGUGUUCGUAUUAUCAUACAGCUCUAUGUCUGGCACAGGUAUUAAAACGUCUGGGUGUGCAGGUUCCAUAAUCCUGCCUCUGGCUUCGUCUUUCUCGGGCUGCAGCACUUGGUUUGCUGCAUUUUUAUUGUUACCACUGUAAUUGUAUUGUGAGGGCUCUUGCUCCAGCUCUGGCUUGUUAAAUA